UACGUAGGGCGCAAGCGUUAUCCGGAUUCACUGGGUUUAAAGGGUGCGUAGGCGGAUUGGUAAGUCCGUGGUGAAAUCUCUAAGCUUAACUUGGAAACUGCCAUGGAUACUAUUAGUCUUGAAUAUUGUGGAGGUUAGCGGAAUAUGUCAUGUAGCGGUGAAAUGCAUAGAUAUGACAUAGAACACCAAUUGCGAAGGCAGCUGGCUACACAAAUAUUGACGCUGAUGCACGAAAGCGUGGGGAUCAAACAGG
RNAcentral lists this ribosomal RNA (253 nucleotides) under uncultured bacterium. RNAcentral's name for it is "partial 16S ribosomal RNA". It matches the Rfam family "Bacterial small subunit ribosomal RNA", at positions 524 to 776 of the family's 1533-position model. The record is from RNAcentral.